This 429-nucleotide ribosomal RNA is filed under the name Pseudomonadota bacterium. RNAcentral's name for it is "Proteobacteria bacterium partial 16S ribosomal RNA". It matches the Rfam family "Bacterial small subunit ribosomal RNA", at positions 355 to 776 of the family's 1533-position model. Lineage: Bacteria; Pseudomonadati; Pseudomonadota. The record is from RNAcentral.
UGGGGAAUAUUGGACAAUGGGCGAAAGCCUGAGCCAGCCAUGCCGCGUGUGUGAAGAAGGUCUUCGGAUUGUAAAGCACUUUAAGUUGGGAGGAAGGGCAGUAAGCGAAUACCUUGCUGGUUUGACGUUACCGACAGAAUAAGCACCGGCUAACUCUGUGCCAGCAGCCGCGGUAAUACAGAGGGUGCAAGCGUUAAUCGGAAUUACUGGGCGGAAAGCGCGCGUAGGUGGUUCGUUAAGUUGAAUGUGAAAGCCCCGGGCUCAACCUGGGAACUGGAUCCAAAACUGGCGAGCUAGAGUAGGGCAGAGGGUGGUGGAAUUUCCUGUGUAGCGGUGAAAUGCGUAGAUAUAGGAAGGAACACCAGUGGCGAAGGCGACCACCUGGGCUCAUACUGACACUGGGGUGCGAAAGCGUGGGGAGCAAACAGG